AUAUGUUUCUGUGCUCAGUAAAUCUGUUCAUGAAAAUAAAUUACUCUUACAAUAAAUAGUAUAUUCCAUUUACUUCUCACAAUUAAAUCUGACUGUUAUAUUCCAUAUCAUUCAAAUAGUAUAAAAAAUUUAACUAUAUCAUAAUCCCUAAAUAAUAAAUUUGAUCCCAAAUCCACAAACAUCUGAAUAAUAAAUCCUAAACUAUAAUCACUAUACUCUAAAUCCUAAUCAGUAAACCCUAAAACCAAAUAUAAUCCAUAAACUCAUAUAUAAACUCUAAAUCUAAAUCUAAAUUUUGAAUACUAAACUUUAAACUGUUAUCACUAAAUCCAAAACUCAACCCCCACUUUCCAAAUACUAAACCCUAAAUCAUAAUCACUAAACCUUAAAUCCAUUUAUAGACCAAAAACCCAAGUAUAUACCCCAAACCUAAAUAGAAUGUAACAAAAUACAUAGUAUAGUAUAUAUUAGU
RNAcentral lists this long non-coding RNA (472 nucleotides) under Brassica napus (rape). Its description in RNAcentral is "long non-coding RNA (BNAP_LNC017151)". Lineage: Eukaryota; Viridiplantae; Streptophyta; Magnoliopsida; Brassicales; Brassicaceae. The record is from RNAcentral.